Molecule: long non-coding RNA, 1666 nt
Filed under: Monodelphis domestica (gray short-tailed opossum)
Lineage: Eukaryota; Metazoa; Chordata; Mammalia; Didelphimorphia; Didelphidae
Description: lncRNA (ENSMODG00000049430.1)
Source: RNAcentral
AUGGGAGCCAAAUGGGACCAGUUCUGCAUGGCUCCAGGGGGCCAAAUCUGGAGCAGUGGGUACGAGUGGCAAAGAGGCAAAUGGAAGCCUGAUGCCGGGGAAAACUUCCUCUCAGCGCAAGCUGCCCCUAAUGAUACUGCAGUCUUAGGACCACAGACGCUGAGGUGGAGGCACCCUCCAAGGCCAAUGGGCCACCCCGCCAUUUUACAGUUGGGGAAACUGAGGCUCCAUUGGUCUGAGGUCACAGAGGUGGGCGUCCUCCUUGGGAUUGGAGAUGCUACUGCUGAAGGCACGCCGGUUUCCUCCUGGAAUGACAGCUGCUUUUUUCCUCUUCAAAGCUGCUGCUGGUGGAUGGAUGCGGAGGACUCGAGGAAGCCAAUCUGGGGGCAUCGUUGCUCUUUGAGGACCAUCUCUGGGACUUUGCAUGGGCCAUCAGAGAGGCCCGGAUGUUUCGGAUGUUUCCUAAUUAGGUGUGCAAAUAACCUGCUGCCAAAUGACUUUUUUCACCUUCAGAGUGUGGCAGCUGCGAGGGGAGAAACUGCAGUUUUCAUUUGUGCCCAGCCAGAAGUGGGGCAGGGAAGAGAGCGCCCACCACCGGCCCCAGUGGAGAAGAGGAGCCAGAGCCAAGGGAAGGUUCCAGAGGGAAUAGGUAGUAUACCAGGCUGAGCGUCUGCUCUUAAGCCACUGGACGCCUCCUGGAAAUUCCAAGGGUUUAGCUGAGGCUUCUAUGAUGAACACACACUGUGCCUUUAUGGAACCACGGAGGCAUCUGAGAACCACACAUGUAACCCUGAUUGACUUAGACAGGACCAGACAUUUAGACACUGGUAUGUUGGGAGUGCCAUCAAUUUCCAAGCUCCCCAAAGAAGCCUGAGUUUGAUGUCCAGACAACUCUCCCUCUCCCUUUCCCCCUACUCUCUCUGUCUCUGUCUUUGUCUCUGUCUCUCUCUAUCCCUUUUCUCUGCCUCUGUCUCUGGGGUUUUUACCUGUCUCUGGCUGUCUCUGUCUCUCUCCUUCUACCUUCUUCUUUUUUUUCCUCUCUCUCUUCUCUUUUCCCCCUUUCUUUCUCUUCUGUCUCUUCCUUUCUCUUUUUCUCUCCUCUCUCACUCUUUCUUCUUCUUGCUUAUUCCAAGGUACAGUUUUUAAAAUUAGUCGUGCUUAAAUUAGCAGUGUUUCUACUUUUAAUAUUCCUCCCUCUAAGCAGCAAGCACAGUUUCAAUCAGGAGUCUGAUUAAUAUGCAGAAAAUGAUUUUUGUUUUGAUUUCAGUCAGGGUUUUUUUUCCCUCCUUUCCUUCCUUUUUUCCCCUUGCCAUGCUAUUUCUUUAUCAAAUUCCUCUGAUCCAGAAAGAGAAUAAGAGGAUGAUGAUAUGGGGUUCCUUAAAGUCAGAAAAGAAUAUUUCCCUGAAACUUGAGGUGGCAAGCUGUCUCCAAGGGCUGGAAUCUCAGUAGCCACUAGUAUCCCAGAAGCUGUCAUAGGAUCCUAAGAAAAAAAAUUUUAAACCUUUCUCUUCUGUCUUAGAAUCAAUACUGUGUAUUGGUUCAAAGACAGAAGAGUAAUAAGGGCUAUGCAAUGGGAGUUAAGUGAGUUGUCCAGGGUCACACAGUUAGGAAGUAUCUGAGGCCAGAUUUGAACCCAGGACCUCCCGUCUCUAGGCCUGGAUCUCAA